GGUUGUGGCUCAGCGGUAGAGGGCUCACCUAGCAUGUGCAAGACCCUGGGUUCAAUUCUCAGCACCA
RNAcentral lists this transfer RNA (67 nucleotides) under Marmota monax (woodchuck). RNAcentral describes it as "tRNA.Ala". The record is from RNAcentral. Lineage: Eukaryota; Metazoa; Chordata; Mammalia; Rodentia; Sciuridae.